CCUACGGGUGGCAGCAGUGAGGAAUAUUGGUCAAUGGGCGCGAGCCUGAACCAGCCAAGUAGCGUGAAGGAUGACUGCCCUACGGGUUGUAAACUUCUUUUAUAAAGGAAUAAAGUGAGGCACGUGUGCCUUUUUGUAUGUACUUUAUGAAUAAGGAUCGGCUAACUCCGUGCCAGCAGCCGCGGUAAUACGGAGGAUCCGGGCGUGAUCCGGAUUUGUUGGGUUUAAAGGGAGCGUAGAUGGGUUGUUAAGUCAGUUGUGAAGUUGUGCGGGUCAACCGUAAAAUUGCAAUUGAUACUGGCAGCCUUGAGUACAGUUGAGGUAGGCGGAAUUCGUGGUGUAGCGGUGAAAUGCUUAGAUAUCACGAAGAACUCCGAUUGCGAAGGCAGCCUACUAAACUGCCACUGACAUUGAUGCUCGAAAGUGUGGGUAUCAAACAGGAUUAGAUACCCGAGUAGUC
Molecule: ribosomal RNA, 460 nt
Filed under: uncultured bacterium
Lineage: Bacteria
Description: partial 16S ribosomal RNA
Rfam family: Bacterial small subunit ribosomal RNA
Source: RNAcentral